AAAACCAGAAACAUUGAUCAUUAAUGUACUCCUAAACCAGUUACAAUGAUGAGAAGAAGAAAAAAACAGCAAAUUCCUAGCAGUCUAAUCUUUUAUUUUUCUUUAUUUGAG
Molecule: long non-coding RNA, 111 nt
Organism: Hibiscus syriacus
Lineage: Eukaryota; Viridiplantae; Streptophyta; Magnoliopsida; Malvales; Malvaceae
Exons: 3
Source: RefSeq, a predicted model, not a curated record